AGUGAACGCUGGCGGUAGGCCUAACACAUGCAAGUCGAACGGCAGCACAGUAAUAGCUUGCUCUUACGGGUGGCGAGUGGCGGACGGGUGAGGAAUACAUCGGAAUCUACUUUUUCGUGGGGGAUAACGUAGGGAAACUUACGCUAAUACCGCAUACGACCUACGGUUGAAAGCAGGGGAUCUUCGGACCUUGCGCGAUUGAAUGCGCCGAUGUCGGAUUAGCUAGUUGGCGGGGUAAAGGCCCACCAAGGCGACGAUCCGUAGCUGGUCUGAGAGGAUGAUCAGCCACACUGGAACUGAGACACGGUCCAGACGCCUACGGGAGGCAGCAGUGGGGAAUAUUGGACAAUGGGCGCAAGCCUGAUCCAGCCAUACCGCGUGGGUGAAGAAGGCCUUCGGGUUGUAAAGCCCUUUUGUUGGGAAAGAAAAGCAGCAGGUUAAUACCCCGCUGUUCUGACGGUACCCAAAGAAUAAGCACCGGCUAACUUCGUG
RNAcentral lists this ribosomal RNA (492 nucleotides) under uncultured bacterium. RNAcentral's name for it is "partial 16S ribosomal RNA". It matches the Rfam family "Bacterial small subunit ribosomal RNA", at positions 29 to 507 of the family's 1533-position model. The record is from RNAcentral.